Molecule: non-coding RNA, 1403 nt
Organism: Punica granatum (pomegranate)
Lineage: Eukaryota; Viridiplantae; Streptophyta; Magnoliopsida; Myrtales; Lythraceae
Source: RefSeq, a predicted model, not a curated record
UAUAUAUAUAUAUGAUGAGAAAAUUAUACAUUUACUCUUAUAAGUUUAGUUGCCUUUUCAUUUUAGCCAUUUCUUUUUAUUUUUAUUUUUAUACCAUUGGCAUCUUAUAACUUUGGAUAUUUUUUCUGUUUCAGUUAUUUUUCUUUUUCUUGGUUCGUUUUCAGUCUCCCCCAAUGGUGCAGAUGAUUCUGCCCCUAUCUGGCAUGCCAUGGAAUUCCUCGACAAAGUAGAAGAUGCUACCGGGGAGGAUUCCAUUACUUGUUUGAAGUAGCUGAUCUUGAUUCUGUACGACCCGAGACUCUUCCUAUAGUCACCAAACUGCUUCAUGGUCUCCCAAUGCCUUCUUGCCUGACGAACAUAAGAUCCAGGUCAGUGGCGAUGACAAUCUGCACAGCAAUGAAGCUGCGAUCGAACCUGAGUUGAUAAUUUCAACGUCAGGAAACAAGUAUGGUCUACUAGACACUAAAAAAGCAAAAGAAGAGGUCUAUGAAGGAUUUCCCGAACUUGAGCCAUGAGUGCAGGAGGUUUUUUCCAAAUUCUUCGAUCAAUAGGGCAAAGGAGCUCGAGACUAAGUUGAGUGAUGCGGGAUUCAGUCCUAGCUACAGGCUUCUACAGGAGGUCAAGUUUGAGUCAAGACAAAGAUCAGAGCUUACAGUUCGGGUACUGAGCCAACCAUUUGCUGGUGUUGAAAAACAGCUUUCCUUCGUUGGGUUCUGGUGAUAGUGCCGGAAAGAAUUCCAGUGAGAAUCAGUACGGGGCUGUUCCGCUGUGAGGAUUAUCACUAUGACCUGGACAAGGUGAUCAGGACAGCAAGGCCUGAUGACAGAUGCAUCAAGAGUUUCCUCAAACAAGGGGAUCACUCUCGACCUGUCGCAGGCAUUCGAGAUCACCUGAUCGAGGCGGACAUGGUGCAUCCAUCGGACGUAUGGAGAGCACUGCCAUGAUGUGGUGAACAAAGUGCGCAAGAACUGGAGCAAAGUCCUGCUUGCAGUGUUGAUUUGGCUCAAGCAGAAGGAAGCUGUGUGGGUUGAAUCAGUUCAAGAUGAAUAAGAGGUGGAAGCAGUUGCUUCAUUCCCGGUUACUUGGCACUUCACAGUUGAAACCGCAAGGGCAAACAGGAUCAUAGAGAAUACAGAAACCCUUAAAAUCAACAGAGAUUUUAUGCGCACAAACAGAAUUAGAAACAUUUUUUGCAAGUUUAGGAUAGGAUUUUAUCUGCUCAUGGGCAAUUUAACGCUCUUAGUCAGUUAGGUAGUGAAUUAAUGUGGUUCUUCACUAAGCUCCUUGUUUAGUCAUUAUGACUAAAUGUGUAUUGGCAGGGAAAAUUGAUUCAUAUCAAGUUUGUCUUGCAACUGAAGAAAUUGAACUUGUACAAUGGCAAUGUAGAUCCAUUCAGACCCAAA